RNAcentral lists this long non-coding RNA (418 nucleotides) under Linum usitatissimum (flax). RNAcentral's name for it is "long non-coding RNA (LUSI_LNC006130)". Lineage: Eukaryota; Viridiplantae; Streptophyta; Magnoliopsida; Malpighiales; Linaceae. The record is from RNAcentral.
UGAAGAGCAACUUAAGUUAAAUGUUUGCACUAAGCUCUAUUCUCCCAUUCCACAGUUUCUAAACUUUAUUUCUGGGUGUUGUUCUUCUGAUGUCUGGUGUUUUGAGUAAUGUGUUCUUCACACAAUUAUAUUUUAUGAUGCUUGUGUAGCCCCUACUCCUCAGGGUUUUUAUCGAUCGACGGUCUGUUCAAUUAUUAAUCAAGUGUGUUCUAGCAAGCAAUAAUAAGAAAAUUCAAAAUCUUGUUAGCGUGGAGACUAAAUAGAGAAGCUACGACUUGAUCAAGUGUGACAUGGUUGGACCAACCUUGUUAAAAGCUAAACCGACUUGGUUCAACUCCUACUCGGUCUAAUUCGACUCAACAAUUCAUACUUUGCCAAUUCAAAAUUUUAGAAUUUCUUUGAUUCACAUUCCAGCAAU